CGGCUUGCAGCAUACACCUCUGCCCCUCGCUCCUCGCCGACGUGGCGAGGCUCUCCUCCUGCCCGGCGCCUCGCUCCUUGCUAUUCACGCUUAGCGAGAGCUCUGCUGCUGCCCGCGCAGGGCCGUCGAUGUUCUAGCUCGUCCGGAGCCGCUGCAGGCAUCCCGGCCUCCUCCUACACCACUGGCAGCAUCCCGGCCUCCUCCUCCGCCAUCGUCGGGUCUUGCAGAGUUGCCAAGAAGUGAGCCACCAUGCUCGAGAUCAGCGCCAUCCUGCUGGACCUGGACGCCAUGGAUCCACCACUUGUGUCUGAAGCUUAAGUGGUUCAAUCGUCUGUCUGUGAAAGCUAAGCCGAUGGCGGACCGAAGGUGGAUGUAUCUUGAGAACCGUACCUAUAAAUAGUACUUAAAUGGUCUAAAGUUAUUCAUUAGAGGCGGACAAGUCGAAUCGGCGCAUAUCUGCCAUGUGUUUUCCAUGC
This is a long non-coding RNA of Panicum hallii, 476 nucleotides long. RefSeq lists it as uncharacterized. The record is from RefSeq and is a predicted model, not a curated record. Lineage: Eukaryota; Viridiplantae; Streptophyta; Magnoliopsida; Poales; Poaceae. The transcript has 3 exons.